GCUAGAGCCACGGCCUCUCAUGGAACUCAUGGGAGAGAACGAUUGGUCUGAGAAGCCAACUGGACACCAGGACAGGGGUGAAAGGUUUAGCGACAGGGAGUUCACAAGAGAGGCCGGAGCUGAGGAUUGGGAGCAUCAGUGUAGUUCUUGACGCUGCGGCUAUACUUGUGAUCACUUGGGCAGUGUAGAUAGAGAGAGACACUGAAAAAGAUCAAGGACACAUUCUUCUAAGGAGCUAGGGGAAGCUACAAAGUCUUGGCAAGAGACUCAGGAGUAACUGAGGGAAGAGGGAAGGACUGGGAGAAUAUGAAGCCAGAAAACAACCAGAAGUAGGAAGCAGAAGACACAGGGAGGCAGAGACAGCACAGGGCAGCCAAGCUGAGCUCUUGCUGACUCUCAGCAGCAAUGCUAUUUUGGGGAGUGCAUCGGUAGGGGGUGUGCCGGAGACAGAAGCUAGUGCCUUCCUCUAAGCAAGGACUAUACCACCGAACGUCACAGUGAGCCACACCGACCCCCCUUCAAUGGUUUUCUGAGACAAUCUUGUCUCCACACUCCUUACACACCGAGACGGCUGCCACCAUCUCCAUGUGGCCAGCUCUACCCGUGAUGAAGAUUAAAACAGACAUCUUCUGCUCUUCUGCCAACGGGUAGCAAACCAGCACAGAAGCCCACAGCACAGGGCAGUCUGCAAACAUUCUGCCCUAGCACACGGUUCUAACUCCUCAGCCCUGAGACAGACAGAGGAGCAGCUCCUGAGAAGCCAGCACAGAGGAGCGUGCAGCAGAAGGUCCUGGUGGUGUGGUGAGGACCCAGCGGCUGCAGGUCUCUGUGUAGGAAAUGGUGCACCAGCAGGAGCGGGUGCAAGGCUUGCAGAGUUUGUUGAUUUCUGCCUAGGUAGAAGUCAGAAAAACAAGGCCAUAGAAGCCUAGAGGGCAACAGAAGCCACUGGAAGCCAGAGCCUGUCGACGGAAAGCGAUAACACACCAUGGGAUGUGCUGGCAGAACACAUCUGCACUCCUGGCAUUUAGAAGCAGGGCGCGGAAGUCCAUGAGUUCAUGGCUGGCUUGGCUGACACGUUGAGACCCUGUCUCAAAUAAAAAGUUAUAUAGACUAACUACUUGAAGGUUU
This 1128-nucleotide long non-coding RNA is filed under the name Mus spicilegus (steppe mouse). Its description in RNAcentral is "lncRNA (ENSMSIG00000031546.1)". The record is from RNAcentral. Lineage: Eukaryota; Metazoa; Chordata; Mammalia; Rodentia; Muridae.